AGCAGCCGCGGUAAUUCCAGCUCCAAUAGCGUAUAUUAAAGUUGUUGCAGUUAAAAAGCUCGUAGUUGAAUUUCGGGAUCAAUAUGUUGGUCGUGCCUCGGUACGUACUAGCAUAUUGGUUUCUCCUUUCUGAAGAACCAUGAUGUCAUUUAUUUGGUGUCGUGGGGAAUCAGGACUGUUACUUUGAAAAAAUUAGAGUGUUUAAAGCAGGCUCACGCUUGAAUACAUUAGCAUGGAAUAAUGAAAUAGGACGUUUGGUUCUAUUUUGUUGGUUUUUAGGAUCGACGUAAUGAUUAAUAGGGAUAGUUGGGGGCAUUAGUAUUCAAUUGUCAGAGGUGAAAUUCUUGGAUUUAUUGAAGACUAACUACUGCGAAAGCAUUUGCCAAGGAUGUUUUCAUUAAUCAAGAACGAAAGUUAGGGGAUCGAAGACGAUCAGAUACCGUCGUAGUCUUAACCAUAAACUAUGCCGACUAGGGAUCGGAUGAUGUUAAUUUUUUAAUGACUCA
This 506-nucleotide ribosomal RNA is filed under the name uncultured Glomeraceae. Its description in RNAcentral is "SSU rRNA". It matches the Rfam family "Eukaryotic small subunit ribosomal RNA", at positions 569 to 1078 of the family's 1831-position model. Lineage: Eukaryota; Fungi; Glomeromycota; Glomeromycetes; Glomerales; Glomeraceae. The record is from RNAcentral.